UACGUAGGUCGCAAGCGUUGUCCGGAUUUACUGGGCGUAAAGAGCGCGCAGGCGGCUGGUCAAGUCCGAUGUGAAAUCUCCCGGCUCAACUGGGAAACUGCAUCGGAAACUGAUCGGCUUGAAGAUGGGAGAGGGUAGUGGAAUUCCCGGUGUAGUGGUGAAAUGCGUAGAUAUCGGGAGGAACACCAGUGGCGAAGGCGACUACCUGGCCCAUUCUUGACGCUGAGGCGCGAAAGCUAGGGGAGCGAACGGGAUUAGAUACCCCGGUAGUCCUAGCCGUAAACGAUGAACACUAGGCGUAGUCGGUAUCGACCCCGGCUGUGCCGUAGCUAACGCAUUAAGUGUUCCGCCUGGGGAGUACGGCCGCAAGGCUAAA
Molecule: ribosomal RNA, 376 nt
Filed under: uncultured bacterium
Lineage: Bacteria
Description: bacterial SSU rRNA
Rfam family: Bacterial small subunit ribosomal RNA
Source: RNAcentral